CAGCAAAAAACAGGACAGCCAGCUCAUGCAAAGGUUAAGUGCAAGUUCGCCCAUCCAUCUUUGUGGUUUGCUGCCCAUCCUUCCCAAAUCCUACAACCUCCUGGCCUUGACUAUCGGUGCUCAGCACUCUGGAGUGGUGCACGUCGCUGACUGCAGCCGUACUGCCUGGGCGCCCUUUGACAGACGGGUCCGUUUUCCACACAAAUCGAGGGAGGCAGUGGUGGUGCUGAACACCUGUUGUAAUUUCCAUCUGGAAUAGGUUCUUGUCUCUACAGUUCUGCCUUGUUGUGUUUGCUGAAACUGUGUUUCUUUCCCGAGGGCCCCGAAUGGCUGGUCACAGGGGCCUGGGGAGAGGCUGAGGCUGGGAGCCCUGGCCCUGUCCUGUCUGUGCUGUGAACAUGCCUGACCUUGACUUGUGUUGCCCGCUUUCUCUCAUCCUUCCUUCCCUCUAGGUCUGUGCUGUCCAAUAGGGGAGCCAGCAGCCACCUGUGGCCAGUGAGCGCUUGAAAUCCAGCUCAUAAACGGAGGGGCUCCAUUUUCCAUUUAUUUCAGAUGUAACGAAAUCUAAAUACAGAUCCAUGUACUUCUGACAAAAAUUUAGUGCCUGAAUAGAGAUGUGCUAUAAGGAUAAAAUACAUACUGGAUUUCAAACACUUAGCAUGAAAAAAAGAAGGGCACGAGUGCUGUCCCUGAUACUGCGGUCCUGGAGCCCUGGCACGAGGCACACACAGCAGGCUGACCCCUGAACCAGGAGUCCUGGGGAUGGAGGUCACCAGAGGAA
Molecule: long non-coding RNA, 781 nt
Organism: Aethalodelphis obliquidens (Pacific white-sided dolphin)
Lineage: Eukaryota; Metazoa; Chordata; Mammalia; Artiodactyla; Delphinidae
Exons: 3
Source: RefSeq, a predicted model, not a curated record